This 459-nucleotide ribosomal RNA is filed under the name uncultured bacterium. RNAcentral's name for it is "partial 16S ribosomal RNA". It matches the Rfam family "Bacterial small subunit ribosomal RNA", at positions 338 to 795 of the family's 1533-position model. The record is from RNAcentral.
CCUACGGGAGGCAGCAGUGAGGAAUAUUGGUCAAUGGCCGGAAGGCUGACCCAGCCAUGCCGCGUGAAGGUCAGUGCCCUAUGGGCGUUAAACUUCUUUUGUGCGGGAGCAAUAAUGGUCACGUGUGGCCAGACGAGAGUACCGUACGAAUAAGCAUCGGCUAACUCCGUGCUAGCAGCCACGGUCAACGGGGGAUGGAAGCCUUAUCCGGUUUUUUUGGGUUUUAAGGGUGCGUACGCUGUGAGGUAACUCAGCGGUGAAAAGCCCCCGGUCAACGGGGUGAAGUGCGAUUGAUACUGCCUGGCUGGAAUGCGGAUGCCGUGGGAGGAAUGUGUGGUGUAGCGGUGAAAUGCAUAGAUAUCACACAGAACACCGAUUGCGAAGGCAUCUCACGAAUCCGCGAUUGACGCUGAUGCACGAAAGCGUGGGUAUCAAACAGGAUUAGAUACCCCAGUAGUC